Quercus robur (English oak) is the source of this 83-nucleotide small nucleolar RNA. RefSeq annotates it as small nucleolar RNA U31b. The record is from RefSeq and is a predicted model, not a curated record. The transcript has a single exon. NCBI's taxonomy places the organism in Eukaryota, Viridiplantae, Streptophyta, Magnoliopsida, Fagales, Fagaceae.
GGAGAUGAUGCUACCUUUUGACACCCAGUCUUACUUGCAUCCAUAGAUGCAAAAUGGUGAUAAUGAUUAAACUUGUCUGAUCC